This 460-nucleotide ribosomal RNA is filed under the name uncultured bacterium. RNAcentral's name for it is "partial 16S ribosomal RNA". It matches the Rfam family "Bacterial small subunit ribosomal RNA", at positions 338 to 795 of the family's 1533-position model. The record is from RNAcentral.
CCUACGGGAGGCAGCAGUGAGGAAUAUUGGUCAAUGGACGCAAGUCUGAACCAGCCAUGCCGCGUGCAGGAAGACGGCUCUAUGAGUUGUAAACUGCUUUUGUACGAGGGUAAACGCAGAUACGCGUAUCUGUCUGAAAGUAUCGUACGAAUAAGGAUCGGCUAACUCCGUGCCAGCAGCCGCGGUAAUACGGAGGAUUCAAGCGUUAUCCGGAUUUAUUGGGUUUAAAGGGUGCGUAGGCGGUCGGAUAAGUUAGAGGUGAAAUCCCGAGGCUCAACUUCGGAAUUGCCUCUGAUACGGUUCGGCUAGAGAUGAGUUGCGGUAGGCGGAAUGUAUGGUGUAGCGGUGAAAUGCUUAGAGAUCAUACAGAACACCGAUUGCGAAGGCAGCUUACCAAGCUACUUCUGACGUUGAGGCACGAAAGCGUGGGUAGCAAACAGGAUUAGAUACCCGGGUAGUC